Molecule: long non-coding RNA, 692 nt
Filed under: Malus domestica (apple)
Lineage: Eukaryota; Viridiplantae; Streptophyta; Magnoliopsida; Rosales; Rosaceae
Description: long non-coding RNA (MDOM_LNC009701)
Source: RNAcentral
CCUUUCACUUCAAAUACUUUUUUAAAAUUAAUUUGUAUUUUUACUAAAAAUUGGUUGUAAAAACAUUUUAGUUAAAAAAAUGCUUUCACAAUUAUACAAAAGCACUUUCUGAACCAGCCCUAGUUUUGUCCAUUUAAGUUUAGGUUCGGUGUUCAAAACAAAACUAAAAGCAGAAGAGGCAAAUCGGAAAGAAAGCAUAAGUUCAAGGGCAUUGGUAAAUUUUUUUUCAUUUUUUCUAAAACGAGACUAUAUUUUUAGAAACAUUAACGAAAAGGGAUUGAAAUAUUUAAGUUUUAAUGAUAAAGAUAAAAUAAAUAAGAAAAUAAAUAGUAUCAGAUCUGAGUACCUAAAAAAUAUGGUUGUUCAUUAAAAUAAACAUUACGGGAGUUAUUUUUUAUUUUUAUUUUUUCUAGUAAGACUGAAGACAUGAAAGAGCUUUACCUGAUGACAGGUGACGGUUUGGAAGCACCGAAGCUCCUGAGUGAAAUCGGGCAACCCGAUCGUGUGGUGGAGGAUCCGGUUCGUGCCGUAAUCGUUGGAGUUCGGCCCACCUACUAUGCAGAUGACCGGCAAGUUCUCGCUGCACGCACCGGCGAUCGCGUUCAGCACACUGAGCCCGCCGACGGUGAACGUAACGACGCACGCUCCAACCCCCCUGGCGCGCGCGUAGCCGUCAGCAGCAUAACCGGCGU